Molecule: ribosomal RNA, 465 nt
Filed under: uncultured bacterium
Lineage: Bacteria
Description: partial 16S ribosomal RNA
Rfam family: Bacterial small subunit ribosomal RNA
Source: RNAcentral
GACGAACGCUGGCGGCGUGCUUAACACAUGCAAGUCGAACGGAAAGGCCCCUUUGGGGGUACUCGAGUGGCGAACGGGUGAGUAACACGUGAGUAACCUGCCCUUGACUUCGGGAUAACUUCAGGAAACUGGGGCUAAUACCGGAUAGGAAUCCUUGCUGCAUGGUGGGGGUUGGAAAGCUUCGGCGGUUUUGGAUGGACUCGCGGCUUAUCAGCUUGGUGGUGGGGUAGUGGCUUACCAAGGGUUUGACGGGUAGCCGGCCUGAGAGGGCGACCGGCCACAUUGGGACUGAGAUACGGCCCAGACUCCUACGGGAGGCAGCAGUGGGGAAUAUUGCACAAUGGGCGGAAGCCUGAUGCAGCAACGCCGCGUGCGGGAUGACGGCCUUCGGGUUAUAAACCGCUUUCAGCAGGGGCGAAGCUUGUGGUGACGGUACCUGCAGAAGAAGCACCGGCUAACUACGUG